Molecule: ribosomal RNA, 85 nt
Filed under: Bacillus sp. BGMRC 2118
Lineage: Bacteria; Bacillati; Bacillota; Bacilli; Caryophanales; Bacillaceae
Description: partial 23S ribosomal RNA
Rfam family: Bacterial large subunit ribosomal RNA
Source: RNAcentral
UUGGUUAAGUUAUGAAGGGCGCACGGUGGAUGCCUUGGCACUAGGAGCCGAUGAAGGACGUGACUAACAACGAUAUGCUUCGGGG